This 471-nucleotide ribosomal RNA is filed under the name uncultured bacterium. RNAcentral's name for it is "bacterial SSU rRNA". It matches the Rfam family "Bacterial small subunit ribosomal RNA", at positions 330 to 793 of the family's 1533-position model. The record is from RNAcentral.
CGUAGACUCCUACGGGAGGCAGCAGUGGGGAAUAUUGCACAAUGGGCGCAAGCCUGAUGCAGCCAUGCCGCGUGUAUGAAGAAGGCCUUCGGGUUGUAAAGUACUUUCAGCAGUGAGGAAGGUGGAUAUGUUAAUAGCAUAUUCAUUUGACGUUAGCUGCAGAAGAAGCACCGGCUAACUCCGUGCCAGCAGCCGCGGUAAUACGGAGGGUGCGAGCGUUAUCCGGAUUUAUUGGGUUUAAAGGGUCCGUAGGCGGAUUAAUAAGUCAGUGGUGAAAUCCCAUCGCUUAACGAUGGAACUGCCAUUGAUACUGUUAGUCUUGAAUGAGGGUGCAGUGGUUGGAAUGUGUAGUGUAGCGGUGAAAUGCAUAGAUAUUACACAGAACACCGAUUGCGAAGGCAGAUCACUAACCCUAAAUUGACGCUGAGGGACGAAAGCGUGGGGAGCGAACAGGAUUAGAUACCCUGGUAG